AGCGCACACAAGAAAUGGGGCCUGCGGCUUAAUUUGACUCAACACGGUGCAACUCACCCGGCCCGGACACAGGAAGGAUUGACAGAUUAAGAGCUCUUUCUUGAUUCUGUGACAGGUGGUGCAUGGCCGUUUCUAGUUGGUGGAGUGAUUUGUCUGCUUUAUUGCGAUAACGAGCGAGACUCUAGCCUACUAAAUAGACUCGGUAUCAUUUUACCGUACCGAGUUCUUCUUAGAGGGACAAGCGGUGUUCAGCCGCACGAAACAGAGCA
This 269-nucleotide ribosomal RNA is filed under the name Tetragnatha sp. Its description in RNAcentral is "partial small subunit ribosomal RNA". It matches the Rfam family "Eukaryotic small subunit ribosomal RNA", at positions 1161 to 1452 of the family's 1831-position model. The record is from RNAcentral. Lineage: Eukaryota; Metazoa; Arthropoda; Arachnida; Araneae; Tetragnathidae.